UACGUAGGGGGCAAGCGUUGUCCGGAAUUAUUGGGCGUAAAGAGCGUGUAGGCGGCCUGGUAGGUCUGCUGUGAAAACUCGAGGCUCAACCUCGAGAUGUCGGCGGAAACCAUCUGGCUAGAGUCCGGAAGAGGAGAGUGGAAUUCCUGGUGUAGCGGUGAAAUGCGCAGAUAUCAGGAAGAACACCUAUGGCGAAGGCAGCUCUCUGGGACGGUACUGACGCUGAGACGCGAAAGCGUGGGGAGCGAACAGG
Molecule: ribosomal RNA, 253 nt
Filed under: uncultured bacterium
Lineage: Bacteria
Description: partial 16S ribosomal RNA
Rfam family: Bacterial small subunit ribosomal RNA
Source: RNAcentral